CACGAAUCACUCCACGCCAUCAUCACAUCGACCACCAAAGAGUUCGUCUUGUUUAGUUUAUAUAUUUAAGCCUUUCAUUGGAAGAGACUAGAGAGAGAGAGCAUUUUUCGGUUUAAGACUUUAGAGAGAGAGAGAGAGAGAGAGAGAGAGAGAGAGAGAGAGAGAGAGCAUAAACCAGUUACCCAUAAGCCAUGAUAUGUGAAAGUGCUUUUCCAACGUAGAAAGCAGAAGUUAAAGUUAAGAAAGCACUCUCUGCUUCAGCUUCAGUUUCUUUAUUAAUUAUAUCC
RNAcentral lists this long non-coding RNA (287 nucleotides) under Citrus maxima (pomelo). Its description in RNAcentral is "long non-coding RNA (CMAX_LNC001581)". The record is from RNAcentral. Lineage: Eukaryota; Viridiplantae; Streptophyta; Magnoliopsida; Sapindales; Rutaceae.